This 813-nucleotide long non-coding RNA is filed under the name Rattus norvegicus (Norway rat). Its description in RNAcentral is "long non-coding RNA NONRATT003879". Lineage: Eukaryota; Metazoa; Chordata; Mammalia; Rodentia; Muridae. The record is from RNAcentral.
GGGACCCAUGUUCCCAUCUUCCAAAGCCCCCAGAAAAGAGCCAGCCUAUGGCAGGUCCUGCCUUCCAACUAUCAAAGUCUGCCACUGUGGCCAUGUCUGCCUCCUACUUCAAGUGGCAGGCUUAUCAGUGCCACUGAGCAACUUGAAACCAGCCUGAAGAGCCUGAAGUGCCAUGUUCCGCUAGUGUCCCUCUCUUUACAGUAGGACUAAAACCCUCACCACCGAGCCCAUUUGGGAACUCCCCUUAGGGCUUCCAGGCCACAUCUCCCUCUUCCAGCAGAUCUGUCACAGCUCACAGUGCUGGCUUCCCACAAGUCAGCAUCUGGUUCAAUAGUGCCCCCUACUGUCCCUGCCACCUCCAGAGAGAAGGGCGUGGUAAUAGCCAGAGCUUUACACUUAGAGCAGAACUUUGAACAGGUGACCCAACUCUGCCCAACUUCAGAGUCGUUUCUGUGAACUGCACAGUGGUACCCAGCUCACGGAAGAUACAGCGCUGAGCACAGCCUCACGCCCAGUGAGUGCUGGAUAGAGGUUGAUGGGCUCCCCUUUCUCCUGUUAGCCUCUCAUCACCAUGCUCCGGGAUCAAGCCUUUCUACACAAUGAUGUCACCUAGUAUGACAGAUCUCUCUUUUGAACAAAGAAUCCCAGGACUGUACCUCUAAAUUUCAACCACAGAUCAUGUUUCUGCACAUAUUUUUGUUUAAUAUAUUUAGUAUUUUUUCUGAACGGACUUUAUGCUUCUGUGGGUCUACAAACAAAGCUUCCAAUGUAAAGAACAAGAUAUCCUUAUUAAAAUACAGUGUAAAAGUCAAA